Molecule: ribosomal RNA, 914 nt
Filed under: Purpureocillium lilacinum
Lineage: Eukaryota; Fungi; Ascomycota; Sordariomycetes; Hypocreales; Ophiocordycipitaceae
Description: LSU rRNA
Rfam family: Eukaryotic large subunit ribosomal RNA
Source: RNAcentral
UUAAGCAUAUCAAUAAGCGGAGGAAAAGAAACCAACAGGGAUUGCCCCAGUAACGGCGAGUGAAGCGGCAACAGCUCAAAUUUGAAAUCUGGCCCCCAGGGCCCGAGUUGUAAUUUGCAGAGGAUGCUUUUGGCGCGGUGCCUUCCGAGUUCCCUGGAACGGGACGCCAUAGAGGGUGAGAGCCCCGUCUGGUCGGACGCCUAGCCUGUGUAAAGCUCCUUCGACGAGUCGAGUAGUUUGGGAAUGCUGCUCUAAAUGGGAGGUAUAUGUCUUCUAAAGCUAAAUACCGGCCAGAGACCGAUAGCGCACAAGUAGAGUGAUCGAAAGAUGAAAAGCACUUUGAAAAGAGGGUUAAAUAGUACGUGAAAUUGUUGAAAGGGAAGCGCUUGUGACCAGACUUGGGCCCGGUGGAUCAUCCAGCGUUCUCGCUGGUGCACUCCGCCGGGUUCAGGCCAGCAUCAGUUCGCCGCGGGGGAAAAAGGCUUCGGGAACGUGGCUCCUACGGGAGUGUUAUAGCCCGUUGCAUAAUACCCUGGGGCGGACUGAGGUUCGCGCUCCGCAAGGAUGCUGGCGUAAUGGUCAUCAGCGACCCGUCUUGAAACACGGACCAAGGAGUCGUCUUCGUAUGCGAGUGUUCGGGUGUAAAACCCCUACGCGUAAUGAAAGUGAACGCAGGUGAGAGCUUCGGCGCAUCAUCGACCGAUCCUGAUGUUCUCGGAUGGAUUUGAGUAAGAGCAUACGGGGCCGGACCCGAAAGAAGGUGAACUAUGCCUGUAUAGGGUGAAGCCAGAGGAAACUCUGGUGGAGGCUCGCAGCGGUUCUGACGUGCAAAUCGAUCGUCAAAUAUGGGCAUGGGGGCGAAAGACUAAUCGAACCUUCUAGUAGCUGGUUUCCGCCGAAGUUUCCCUCAGGAA